This is a long non-coding RNA of Oncorhynchus keta (chum salmon), 1615 nucleotides long. RefSeq lists it as uncharacterized. NCBI's taxonomy places the organism in Eukaryota, Metazoa, Chordata, Actinopteri, Salmoniformes, Salmonidae. The transcript is spliced from 3 exons. The record is from RefSeq and is a predicted model, not a curated record.
CUCACGAGAAGCAGUGCAUGGUCAAUACCACCCUAUUCAAGGAGAUCUGCUCGAAGUGAUCAAAGUGUGCUCUCUCACUCUGGGGGUACAGGCAGGGAUGACUGCAGCCUUCAGCAAGUAAUAUACAAGAGAGGUACUGACAGAAGCAGCAAUAUGAGUUUGUCAGAGGUCGUCAAUCUGGAUGGGGAUGGAGGCUUUGGUGGUCAACACAACGAAGAAGCAGAUGUCCCUUCCAGUGAUGUGGAGCUGAUCUUGGACCUCGUACCAUUAAAACUUCUUUGGGAUCUUUGUCCCUUCCACGGGACGGUUGAGCUAAUGUAGGCUAAUGCGAUAAGCAUGAGGUUGUAAGUGCCAGGACAUAGACAUAUCUGAUAUUGGAAGAAAGCUUACAUUCUUAUUAAUCUAACUGCACUGUCCAAUUUACAGUAGCUAUUACAGUGAACUAAUACCAUGCUACUGUUGGGAGGAGAGUGCACAAUUUUGAACAUGAGACGUUAUUAAUAAACAAAUUAGGCAUAUUUAGGCAGUCUUUGAAACAACAUUUUGAACAGAAAUGCAAAGGGUCAUUGGAUCAGUCUAAAACUUUGCACAUACGCUGCUGCCAUCUAGUGGCCAAGAUCUAAAUUGCAACUCUUAAGGAUCCACCCCUUUUUUUCAAUUUUCACCUAAAAUGACAUACCCCAAUCUAACUUUCUGUAACUCAGGCCCUGAAGCAAAAAUAUACAUUUUCUUGGUACCAUUUGAAAGGAAACACUUUGAUGUUUGUGGAGAUGUUAAAGGAAUGUAGGAAUAUAACACAAUAUAUCAUAUUUUGCAAUGUGAGAUAUCACAAUCUCUUUCAAUAAUGAACAGAAUGGAGGAAGUCUUUACUCCAGUGAGAUUGCUGAGGCGAACACCGCCAUGUUUAGUUUUGCCCAACAUAGAUUGAGGCACAGACACGAUGUCAAUCGAUUCCCGGGACCACCCAUACGUAGAAUGUAUGCACACAUGACUGUAUGUCGCUUUGAAUAAAAGCGUCUGCUAAAUGGCAUAUAUUAUUAUAUUAUUAUUAUAGCUGAGCUGACUACACUGACAGUGCUAGUGGCAGACUCCACUAAGCUGGCAGGCUGGCUAACAGCCUGCUGCCUGGCCUGCCUGCUGCCUGGCCUGCCCUCUAUCUCAUUGUGGAGCUAGAUGAGUUAUAGGGCCCUGUCUAUGCGAUAGAUAAGAUGAGAGCACCCCUCCAGCUAGGAUGGAGUCAAUCAAUCCUCAGCUGGCCAGGCUUGGUCCUGUUUGUGGGAGAGUCCCAGAAAGAGGGCCAAUUAUCUACAAAGUAUAUCUUUUGGGAUGUAGUAAACAGUUUUCUACCAGCGAUCUAUCUAAGAGAUGGUUGCCAUUUUACGAUCUAAUAACCAAUUGUGCUAUUGUGUGUGUUUAUCCGCUUUAAUUGUAAUUCAUAUUGUACAUAAUGUUUCUGCAAUCAUCUCUUAUGACCAGAAAGAGCUUCUAGAUAUCAGGACAGCGAUUACUCACCCCGUACUGGAAGAAUAUAUUUUUUUCUUUAACGAGUCGGACGCAAAGGAUUUACUCCAGACACCCGACAAGGCCCUCACCCCAGUCAUUCGCAGGAGAAAGA